This 785-nucleotide ribosomal RNA is filed under the name uncultured Glomus. RNAcentral describes it as "SSU rRNA". It matches the Rfam family "Eukaryotic small subunit ribosomal RNA", at positions 325 to 1111 of the family's 1831-position model. Lineage: Eukaryota; Fungi; Glomeromycota; Glomeromycetes; Glomerales; Glomeraceae. The record is from RNAcentral.
AUGGUAGGAUAGAGGCCUACCAUGGUGGUAACGGGUAACGGGGUGUUAGGGCACGACACCGGAGAGGGAGCCUGAGAAACGGCUACCACAUCCAAGGAAGGCAGCAGGCGCGCAAAUUACCCAAUCCCGACACGGGGAGGUAGUGACAAUAAAUAACAAUACAGGGUUCUUUGAAUCUUGUAAUUGGAAUGAGUACAAUUUAAAUCUCUUAACGAGGAACAAUUGGAGGGCAAGUCUGGUGCCAGCAGCCGCGGUAAUUCCAGCCCCAAUAGCGUAUAUNAAAGUUGUUGCAGUUAAAAAGCUCGUAGUUGAAUUUCGGGAUCAAUACGUCGGUCGUGCUUUCGGGUACGUACUGGCGUCAUUGGUUUCUCCUUUCUGACGAACCAUGAUGUCAUUAAUUUGGUGUUAUGGGGAGUUAGGACUGUUACUUUGAAAAAAUUAGAGUGUUUAAAGCAGGCAUUAGCUUGAAUACAUUAGCAUGGAAUAAUGAAAUAGGACGUUCGAUCCUAUUUUGUUGGUUUCUAGGAUCAACGUAAUGAUUAAUAGGGAUAGUUGGGGGCAUUAGUAUUCAAUUGUCAGAGGUGAAAUUCUUGGAUUUAUUGAAGACUAACUACUGCGAAAGCAUUUGCCAAGGAUGUUUUCAUUAAUCAAGAACGAAAGUUAGGGGAUCGAAGACGAUCAGAUACCGUCGUAGUCUUAACCAUAAACUAUGCCGACUAGGGAUCGGAUGAUGUUAAUUUUUUAAUGACUCAUUCGGCGCCUUACGGGAAACCAAAGUGUUUGGG